Molecule: long non-coding RNA, 2161 nt
Filed under: Nicotiana benthamiana
Lineage: Eukaryota; Viridiplantae; Streptophyta; Magnoliopsida; Solanales; Solanaceae
Description: long non-coding RNA (NBEN_LNC025463)
Source: RNAcentral
CCAGGAUCAAUGAAUAAACUUAGCAACUCCUUAUUUCAUAUGAGCCUUGAGGACUAGGUCCCAAAAGUCAGCUGGGUCCAAUAGCCUUGAUCAACACAUGACAAACUGGUAUGCAUAGAAACCAGAAGUGCAGCACACCCAAAUGGUCGUUAUUCCUAUAAAAGAAGAAAACUAAACACUGAAUAAGAUAUAAGAAUUCAUAUCUCAAUUUCAAAUAAGCUAAAUUAUAAACAUAUUAUGUGAAGUUCGAAUCCUAAUUAUGACCUCGCCAACAACAAUAAAAAAUAUUACAUAGCUUAGCUAGAUUUGUAACUUGUUAAACCAUCAAUUCAUUGUUUGAAUCCAAGUUCUUCAAGAAACACAAAUGCCCCACUCGAAUUCUAAAAAUGUGCUAAAAAUUGUGAUGCAAAGCUCAGAAUCUGAGGGCCAAACUAAACCUGAAACAAAUUUAAGCUAGAUCGAAGGAAAGAUAAUUAAGCAAAGCUAGAUCCCAGCUAUAGGAAGGCAGAUAUUCACUAACACUCUGACUUGUGCACAAAUCAAAACUUAGAAGCUAUACGUUGAACCAUCAAUCCAACUUGCAUACAAGAUUCAGAUCAGUAAUACUGUGGACUUAAGAACCUUAAUUAGUAUACAUUUAAAAGUCUAAAAUGGCCUUGAAUCAACCAAAUUCAAACUAGUUCAAAUCCAAACCUUAAAACAAAAUGAAAUGCACCUAAGAAGCUGUACUAAAACAUGAAUAAUAACAAUGGUAGAAUUUAACACAACAAGACUUAUAUUUUUUCAAUUAAUUCCAACUCGGUCACAAAUCUUCAUACAAAGUUUAAUCAGGCUUCAUUUCCACCAUAGUUCAAGAGAAUACUUGGUGCAAUUAGAACAAAAGACAAGAUGAGAAGCUCAUUAGCAGAAACAAAUCUACUUCAGCAGUUCAACAACAGCCAAUUCAGCUUCUUCAAGCUAUUUCAAACCCAGAAUGAUUCCCCAAUCAACCUCCAGCUUUUAAAACUCAAAGAAUUACAGAUAAAACUUUUAAUGUAACAGUGCUUUUGGUGUUUUCUUUGUGUUUUCUUCUAAUUUUUCAGACCUUUUUAGUGUUUAGAGCUUUCUUUAACCAUUUCUCUUUUCUCAAAUCUGAUCCCCCCUUUAAGAAUUCAGUAAAUGGGGCUCUUAUACAGGGGUGCUAGGGUAGCAGUAAAUAUUUUUGAAUUUUCUCUUUAAUCCCUUUGCCACUUUCGUUUUUUCUUAAAAAUCCUCAGUUCAAAAAAUCAAAUUUCAUUUUAGUCCUAAGAUCAGCUUCUAAGAAGCUUCGCAUUUCAGCUAUUGAAAGAUUCCUUGCCUAGACUCUCCAAUUUACCCUUUGGGCUCCUGUUAAUUACCCUAGCAACCAUUGGUUAGUUUUGACCCAAUUGCUUAGCCCAAAUAUGUCUUGCAAAGAAAAACCAUCUGAAUCCUUUCUUUCUUAGCCUUUAUUUUUUAGAGAACCAAGUUAAAAUUCACAAAGCUUAACGGACUCGACCCAAAAGAAAAAGAAAACAGAGAUUCUUUGAUCCAAAACUACAUGAAAGAAAAAGGAAAAGAAGAAGACUGAUUAGCACGAACUAAUAACAGAAAUUUGCUAAGAGCCUAAAACAGGCGACCAAAAAACGUCUGUUAACAUACCAAAAAAAUGAAAAGAAGAUGACAGAAAAAGAUGAAGAUGAGAAACGAAGAAUGAGAACGUAGAAGAAAAAGGAAAGAGAUUACCUAACGGGGGACGUGAAAGGCAUGGCAUGGAGAAAACUCGCUUUGAACGACCCUAUUUUAUUCUGAUUUCAGGCCAAAAUUUGUGUACCUCGCUGGUUCUUGCCAAAACCAAAUAGAAUCGUUAAUUUCGGCCCUAAACGGUCUUUGAAACUUGAAGGAAUCAAAAGAUUUUAGUUGUCAUUUGUUUCUGCACGCUUGGAUCUAAGACGGAUUUUAAUUUUGUUAGGAUUCGAUGAUCGUGGAUGGUGGGUUUAAAGCGGGGAAGCCAUAGGGAUGUUGUGGUUAAGGUUUGGGGCUAUUUGGAAGUGGUGCCGCCGAUAAAAAUGGUGGAUCGCAUAGUGAGAGAGAUGAGAAAGGGAAAUGAUGGGAUUGUUUGGACUAGGUUAAUUAGGACAUUCAGAUACUUUUAUUAAAAGAG